AUAACGAACGAGACCUUAACCUGCUAAAUAGCCAGGCCGGCUUUGGCUGGUCGCUGAGCUUCUUAGAGGGACUGUCAGCGUCUAGCUGACGGAAGUUUGAGGCAAUAACAGGUCUGUGAUGCCCUUAGAUGUUCUGGGCCGCACGCGCGCUACACUGACAGAGCCAGCGAGUUUUUCACCUUGACCGGAAGGUCUGGGUAAUCUUGUGAAACUCUGUCGUGCUGGGGUUAGAGCAUUGCAAUUAUUGCUCUUCAACGAGGAAUACCUAGUAAGCGUGAGUCAUCAGCUCGCGUUGAUUACGUCCCUGCCCUUUGUACACACCGCCCGUCGCUAC
This 334-nucleotide ribosomal RNA is filed under the name fungal sp. CRS5682T18-1. RNAcentral describes it as "SSU rRNA". It matches the Rfam family "Eukaryotic small subunit ribosomal RNA", at positions 1328 to 1682 of the family's 1831-position model. The record is from RNAcentral. Lineage: Eukaryota; Fungi.